This 255-nucleotide ribosomal RNA is filed under the name uncultured bacterium. Its description in RNAcentral is "partial 16S ribosomal RNA". It matches the Rfam family "Bacterial small subunit ribosomal RNA", at positions 524 to 776 of the family's 1533-position model. The record is from RNAcentral.
UACGUAGGGACCAAGCGUUGUUCGGAUUUACUGGGCGUAAAGGGCGCGUAGGCGGCAAUUCAAGUCAUCUGUGAAAUCUCCGGGCUUAACCCGGAACGGUCAGGUGAUACUGUUUUGCUAGAGUGCGGAAGGGGCGAAUCGGAAUUCUCGGUGUAGCGGUGAAAUGCGUAGAUAUCGAGAGGAACACCAGAGGUGAAGACGGGUUGCUGGGCCGACACUGACGCUGACAGCGCGAAAGCCAGGGGAGCAAACGGG